This 506-nucleotide ribosomal RNA is filed under the name uncultured bacterium. RNAcentral describes it as "partial 16S ribosomal RNA". It matches the Rfam family "Bacterial small subunit ribosomal RNA", at positions 29 to 523 of the family's 1533-position model. The record is from RNAcentral.
AGUGAACGCUGGCGGUAGGCCUAACACAUGCAAGUCGAACGGCAGCACAGAGGAGCUUGCUCCUUGGGUGGCGAGUGGCGGACGGGUGAGGAAUACAUCGGAAUCUACUCUGUCGUGGGGGAUAACGUAGGGAAACUUACGCUAAUACCGCAUACGACCUACGGGUGAAAGCAGGGGAUCUUCGGACCUUGCGCGAUUGAAUGAGCCGAUGUCGGAUUAGCUAGUUGGCGGGGUAAAGGCCCACCAAGGCGACGAUCCGUAGCUGGUCUGAGGGGAUAGUCAGCCCCCCUGGAACCUAGACACGGUCCAGACACUUCCGGGGGGCAGCAGUGGGGAAUAUUGGACAAUGGGCGCAAGCCUGAUCCAUCCAUACCGCGUGGGUGAAGAAGGCCUUCGGGUUGUAAAGCCCUUUUGUUGGGAAAGAAAUCCAUCUGGUUAAUACCCGGGUGGGAUGACGGUACCCAAAGAAUAAGCACCGGCUAACUUCGUGCCAGCCGCCGCCGUAA